CGGCCGACACCGCCGAGUCGCCGCCCCAGGCGAUCCGGGGACCCAGGUACGCCGGGGUGAAUCCACAGCCACUGUGGUAGGGCGUCCCCUUCCGCCCGAACCCGUCAGCUAACCCGGUAGGCGGUUCGUCAGAAGGAGU
This 139-nucleotide small RNA is filed under the name Micromonospora yangpuensis. RNAcentral's name for it is "c-di-AMP sequence". It matches the Rfam family "c-di-AMP riboswitch aptamer (ydaO/yuaA leader)". From Rfam's summary of the family: This family represents a conserved RNA structure found upstream of the ydaO and yuaA genes in Bacillus subtilis and related genes in other bacteria. The record is from Rfam by way of RNAcentral. Lineage: Bacteria; Bacillati; Actinomycetota; Actinomycetes; Micromonosporales; Micromonosporaceae.